RNAcentral lists this ribosomal RNA (362 nucleotides) under uncultured Rhodococcus sp. RNAcentral's name for it is "bacterial SSU rRNA". It matches the Rfam family "Bacterial small subunit ribosomal RNA", at positions 1023 to 1382 of the family's 1533-position model. The record is from RNAcentral. Lineage: Bacteria; Bacillati; Actinomycetota; Actinomycetes; Mycobacteriales; Nocardiaceae.
UGGUCGGUGUACGAGGUGGUGCAUGGCUGUCGUCAGCUCGUGUCGUGAGAUGGUUGGGUUAAGUCCCGCAACGAGCGCAACCCUUGUCUUAUGUUGCCAGCACGUAAUGGUGGGGACUCGUAAGAGACUGCCGGGGUCAACUCGGAGGAAGGUGGGGACGACGUCAAGUCAUCAUGCCCCUUAUGUCCAGGGCUUCACACAUGCUACAAUGGCCAGUACAGAGGGCUGCGAGACCGUGAGGUGGAGCGAAUCCCUUAAAGCUGGUCUCAGUUCGGAUCGGGGUCUGCAACUCGACCCCGUGAAGUCGGAGUCGCUAGUAAUCGCAGAUCAGCAACGCUGCGGUGAAUACGUUCCCGGGCCUU